Small nucleolar RNA from Cercocebus atys (sooty mangabey), 114 nucleotides. The record is from Ensembl. Lineage: Eukaryota; Metazoa; Chordata; Mammalia; Primates; Cercopithecidae.
UGCUUCUAACAAGUGCAAUUCUGAAGAAAAGAAAAGCAAACUUCAGUGCCAUCUGGCCUCAUUGGUUUUCAUGACUUUGUGCAUGUUAAACCCGGUAUUUCUAUUGAUAUGGUA